Vespa velutina is the source of this 3128-nucleotide long non-coding RNA. RefSeq lists it as uncharacterized. Lineage: Eukaryota; Metazoa; Arthropoda; Insecta; Hymenoptera; Vespidae. The transcript is spliced from 2 exons. The record is from RefSeq and is a predicted model, not a curated record.
GACAAAAAAUUGGAUAACAACCAAUUAAAGUAUUCCGGAACGUACGAGUCAAGCUAUUGUGAAGAAAGUUUUAUUUAUUACUUUUCCCUUUCUUUCUGUUUGUUGUGCAUCUUAAGGCCAAACUCGGUUAACUUUAAUCAACGAUUAAUUGAAUCACCAGUGUAGCAAAACAGUGAAAUUAUCAAUCGUAUGUCAUUCUUAACCUAUAUUUUUGUGAUAUCAAUAAUUAUUUAAAAAGUUUAUAUAUAAUACAGAAUAAACAGAAUAUUAAUUAAAAUCAAAUAAGACUGUAUAUAUUAAUAAGUACAGGCGUAAUUCUUGACUGAUAUUGAUGAACAAGGUUUCAUUUUAAAGAUUUAAUCUACGGCGUAUUAUUUUCAAAUUUUUUAAAAAGCUUGUUUUUCCUUCGAAAAAAAAAUCGUGUUAAAAGAUGAUAUUUUUCGAGAAUAGUUUAUGCACAAAUAAAAAUCUUUUUCAAAAAAAGACCUUGAUUAUCAAAAUUGAUCAAGAAUUACUUGUUCUUAUUGAUGGCAUAAGUUAUGUUUUUAACAUUUUUUGUGAAGAAAAAAUUUAGUUCUGUAGUACACCUCGAAAUUUGCGACAAAAGAAAUGAAACUCGUACUCUCACUACUGAUUUUCAUAUCACGCUUGAAUGGUGUUUUAUAUGUGAAGUAGCGAUUGCUUGUUUGAUUAUGUGCGUAAAUAGCUUUUGAACAUUUUCGGACGCAAAGAAAUACGUUUCACAAUGCUCAUAUAGAGAAGCUACGGUAACUCACUCGAUCAUUUUAAUGAGCUUUGGCUAGAUGAUUCUAUGACAAAAAUAUACAUGUGCAAUCGUUUAUAUCAAGGGAUUUGAAUUUCUAAAGUAUCGUUAAAUUUUGGAAAAAUUAGGUUUUAUUGACUAAUAAGAUAGAGAUUCUAUAAUCAAUGUAUAGCACAUUGGCAAGUAUCUAUUCGUAAUUCAAAAAACCUUGGGUUCUCUCGAGGCUUCAAUGAUUCCGGUGGUUUUUUUUAUUGCAUCGAUGUAAACGAAAAUAAUGAAUUAAUUAUACUCUUUUUCUCCUUAUUAUUUAAUAACUUAGUAAGGUAUUACUAUCCAAUUUCUUAUAUUUAUUUCUUCUACUGAUGGCUGAUCUGUGAUAGAUAGGAUACAACAGCAGUAUAAUUUUGUUCGAUGAUAAAUGCAUAUGAAAUACCAAUACGGAAAGACGCUUAAAAUUCCAAAAAGAGCUGAGAUCAUGCAUGUCGCUAUCGUGACGUUUACAAGCAAUUGACUAGUCGACCGUCGUCACAAAAACUAAUCACUGACUUUAUAGUAUCAAAGAACAAAUCAAUUGAAAUCCUAUCUUCAAGCGACGAAAGCGAUUUUGAACCAAUUCAUCACAAGAAGAUGCGCGUUUUGGAUUACGAUGAGUAGCACCAAACUAUUUAAUGUAUAAUUUGAAAACUUCUCCAUGUAUAUGUACAAUGAAGAAUUAAAUAUUUGUACAAUUUCUUCAGAUCUAAUUUAAUUAUUUGAUUUAAUUGAAAGCAUUCUCUCAUCUAUUUCAUAAAUCAUUGAUGUAUUUUCUAAGUUCGACUUUUUUUAUGCGGUCCCUGUCCACCGCAUAAAAAAAAUUUUAGGUAGUAUAUCGUACAAAGUUGCUUAUUAUAUGUAAGAAUUUAUAAAAUUUCCGAAUAUUUUUUUGUACGAUUUCUUUUAUGCGGUCCCUAUCCACCGCUCAAAAACAGGUUUUACUGUAUUGCUAUUACUAUAAUAAUAAUAUGUAAUAUAAUAAUACAGUAAUAAUAAGAAGAAACAGAAGAAUAUACUUGUAUUAUAUAUCAUGACACAUGAUGAUGAAAUAUUUAUGAUAACAAAAAAGGAAAAAUUUAUCAUUUUACAUGGUGUUGGACGCGCGAACUUUCAACAAAUCGUGUCGACACAUGACAACUGCCCAUCUAAUGCGAUAUGAAAAAACGUUUCUUUUGUUUUCGUCCACUAUCGUUUCUUCUUGUUUUACUAACUUAUGAUCGUUAUGCAUUUAUUUUACACUGUUUCUUACUUAUAUUCAGUCGAAGCUGAUUGUCUUUACUAUUAUAAUAUAAAAUUUAUUAAAUAAUAUCUAGAUGUAUAUAAAUAAUAUUUAAGAACAUUUUUAUUAUUAUAUUAUAUUAUAUUAUAUUAUAUUAUAUUAUUAUUAUUAUUAUCAGUAGUAAUGGUAAUAGUAGUAGUUGUAAUAGUCGAAGUAGUAUAGAGGGCGCUAGUCUUAUAGGAGAAAGACGUAAAAAAAGCGUUAGUAGUUCUACUUCAUAGGUAGUGUAGAAAUAAGUUCAUAUUUUAAUUUGUAUUAAAAUAAUAUAAUAUAUAUAAGUAUUUAUUAAUUAUUUUUAAAAAAGUAUUGGACAAAUUCUUAUUUUUGUCGCAGAUUUAUAUACUAAUUUUUAUAUGUGUCAAUUAUAUUUAUUAUUUUUUAUGCAUUUAUCGGUAACCAAAUGUAUAUCGACAUCGUAUCUAGCAUGCAUCUAUCAUCUACAAAAUGCAUGCUACCAUCAAAGAAAAACAUAUUUAUGAGAAACUGAAAAAUGUGAGUUGACGGUCUAUUGAACUACUUACUGUAACUCACACGAAACCGAUUAUUCUGUACGCGUGAAGAAGACAACCAAACAAGCUUAUAUACCAAUAUGAUAUUGGCAUGGUGAGGACAGCGUUCUCUGCUUGUUUCGUAGUUCAUAUUUUGUCCAUACUCGUCAUUGAAGCUACAUGAGCUUUGAAGAAAAGAUAGUGAACAGCCUUAAGAGAAUUCAUAUAUGUAUUUCUAUACUAUAUAUAACAUUUUUAAAUGAUUAUUGAUAUCAUAUAAAUAUAGGUUAAGAAUGAUAUAUAUUGGAUUGGCAACUAAGUGAUUGCGAAUUUUGUCGUUUCCUUCUUAUUUGAAAUCCGGCAAUCACUUAAUUGUCAACCCAAUAGUUAAAAGUUCUGUUUUGCUACAUUGUCGAUCGAGUUAAUCGAACUUAAUUGAAGUGGCGCUCAAUUUAUUAUAUUUUUUAGUUAUCAUCGAAAAGAAGUAACAUCUUUUUUUUAAGCAAUUACAAAUAGUUAUAAAUAAAAGUUUCAUAAUAAUUGAAAAAUUUUGACGUUUGUGUUA